AGCUCCAAUAGCGUAUACCAAUGCUGUUGCGGUUAAAAAGCUCGUAGUUGGAUCUCGGCAGGCAGGGAGCGGUUCGAUGUUUGUCGCUACUGCUCCAUUUGCCUGUGACUUUGGCGGAGGUUUCAGGGUGCUCUUAAUCGAGUGUCCUGGGACGCCGCCAGGUUUACUUUGAAAAAAUUGGAGUGCUCAAAGCAGGCUGUACACGCCUGGACAUUCGUGCAUGGAAUAAUGGAAUAGGACGUCGUUUCUAUUUCGUUGGUUUUCGGAAAUCGACGUAAUGAUUAAUAGGGACAGUCGGGGGCAUUAGUAUUCAGGCGCUAGAGGUGAAAUUCUUGGACCGUCUGAAGACUAACUACUGCGAAAGCAUUUGCCAAGAAUGUUUUCA
RNAcentral lists this ribosomal RNA (385 nucleotides) under uncultured eukaryote. RNAcentral describes it as "SSU rRNA". It matches the Rfam family "Eukaryotic small subunit ribosomal RNA", at positions 587 to 972 of the family's 1831-position model. The record is from RNAcentral.